Molecule: ribosomal RNA, 500 nt
Filed under: uncultured Desulfuromonas sp.
Lineage: Bacteria; Pseudomonadati; Thermodesulfobacteriota; Desulfuromonadia; Desulfuromonadales; Desulfuromonadaceae
Description: bacterial SSU rRNA
Rfam family: Bacterial small subunit ribosomal RNA
Source: RNAcentral
CCAGCCCGCUCAGAAACUCAAAGGAAUUGACGGGGGCCCGCACAAGCGGUGGAGCAUGUGGUUUAAUUCGACGCAACGCGAAGAACCUUACCUGGGCUUGACAUCCCGAUCGCACCUUAUGGAAACAUAGGGGUCAGUUCGGCUGGAUCGGUGACAGGUGCUGCAUGGCUGUCGUCAGCUCGUGUCGUGAGAUGUUGGGUUAAGUCCCGCAACGAGCGCAACCCUUGUCCUUAGUUGCCAGCAUUCAGUUGGGCACUCUAAGGAGACUGCCGGUGUCAAACCGGAGGAAGGUGGGGAUGACGUCAAGUCCUCAUGGCCCUUAUGUCCAGGGCUACACACGUGCUACAAUGGCCGGUACAAAGGGGCGCAAGACCGCGAGGUGGAGCAAAUCCCAAAAAACCGGUCUCAGUUCGGAUUGGAGUCUGCAACUCGACUCCAUGAAGUUGGAAUCGCUAGUAAUCGCGUAUCAGCAUGACGCGGUGAAUACGUUCCCGGGCCUU